GCAUCUGUUGGUCCUUUGCCGGUUAGGAUCACUAGGUAGGGUCUACUCAAUACACAUUCUCGGAUAAUGGUUGCGGGUUUCUCUCGUCACUCACUUAAAGAAAGGGUAAUUGUGCUAAGGGAGAUUGCAUUUUUGGAGGUGUUAAAUUUGUAGUCUGUUAUUGGGCACCUGUUCUUCACACGUCGAUUGAAUGUGAUCUUUAUGUGUUAGCCAAAAGCGAGAGGGACAGCGAGUAGAAUUUAUCAACCACAGAGAGGAUUACAAUUUCUUCUUUAUUGUUUUAUGGUGGCGUUGAAGUUUGAUUCAGGGAGAUUGCGUCUUUUCUGCUAAAACUGAAGGAAUGGGUACUUGCAUCUAAAAUGAUUAUGUUUUGUGACAGCCCUAAUAGUGACCUUUUUAGCUCUGCCCCAGUGCCAUUAGUUUGGAGAAGGUAUGAAGGUGCGAUCAUCGGUGAAGAAAAUGUGUUCUUUCUGCCGCACAAUCAGGCGACACGGGGUAGUGUAUGUGAUAUGCUCGGCUAAUCCCAAACACAAGCAGCGACAGGGCUUUAUAGCAUAUGCAUACGAAGGACCUAUAUCCACCAUGUCUCUGGUGAUAACUCCAAAACAGGAGAAGACGCCUCUCGGCUUUGGUAUCAGCAGUAGUUCCUCGCCUUCUCUUAUAUCCGAAAACGGUGAGGCAUCUGUGAAUCCAUGGCGGAGAAAGGGUAUGGCUCCCAUUAAUCUGCUCAACCCAGCCGCUAAGCAGUCGAUUCUGCGAGCAUUAUAAGCUGGCUACUCCAUGUUUAUCACACACAAAGAUGCCAUAUAUUAUGCAUUGUCUGAGAGCAGCAGUUGUAACUUACCAACUGGAAAACAUCAUGUUUAACACUUGUUUUCUGUGAUAUGUUGGAAUCAUGAUCUGUUAUUCAUUGCA
Molecule: long non-coding RNA, 915 nt
Organism: Ipomoea nil (Japanese morning glory)
Lineage: Eukaryota; Viridiplantae; Streptophyta; Magnoliopsida; Solanales; Convolvulaceae
Exons: 3
Source: RefSeq, a predicted model, not a curated record